UUGGAGGGCAAGUCUGGUGCCAGCAGCCGCGGUAAGUCCAGCUCCAAUAGCGUAUAUUAAAGUUGUUGCAGUUAAAAAGCUCGUAGUUGAAUUUCGGGAUUGACGUGAUGGUCAUGCCUUAAGGGGUAUGAACUGUUACUGUUGAUUUCUCACCUUCUGGAGAAACUUGAUGUCCUUUAUUGUGGGUGUCUUGCGGAUCCAGGACCUUUACCUUGAAAAAAUUAGAGUGUUUAAAGCAGGCAUUUUUGCUCGAAUACAUUAGCAUGGAAUAAUAGAAUAGGACGGCAUGGUUCUAUUUUGUUGGUUUCUAGGAUCACCGUAAUGAUUAAUAGGGAUAGUUGGGGGCAUUAGUAUUCAAUUGUCAGAGGUGAAAUUCUUGGAUUUAUUGAAGACUAACUACUGCGAAAGCAUUUGCCAAGGAUGUUUUCAUUAAUCAAGAACGAAAGUUAGGGGAUCGAAGACGAUCAGAUACCGUCGUAGUCUUAACCAUAAACUAUGCCGACUAGGAAUCAGACGAUGUUAAUUUUUUAAUGACUCGUUUGGCACCUUACGGGAAACCAAAGUGUUUGGGUUC
Molecule: ribosomal RNA, 574 nt
Filed under: uncultured Glomeromycotina
Lineage: Eukaryota; Fungi; Glomeromycota
Description: SSU rRNA
Rfam family: Eukaryotic small subunit ribosomal RNA
Source: RNAcentral